Molecule: ribosomal RNA, 401 nt
Filed under: uncultured bacterium
Lineage: Bacteria
Description: bacterial SSU rRNA
Rfam family: Bacterial small subunit ribosomal RNA
Source: RNAcentral
GGGGAAUCUUGCACAAUGGGGGAAACCCUGAUGCAGCGACGCCGCGUGAACGAUGAAGCCCUUCGGGGUGUAAAGUUCUUUCGACAGGAACGAUAAUGACGGUACCUGGAGAAGAAGCUGCGGCUAACUACGUGCCAGCAGCCGCGGUAAUACGUAGGCAGCGAGCGUUGUUCGGAGUUACUGGGCGUAAAGAGUGCGUAGGCGGCGAGCCAAGUUUGGUGUGAAAUCUCCCGGCUUAACCGGGAGGGUGCGCCGAAAACUGGUUGGCUGGAGUAUGGGAGAGNAAAGCGGAAUUCCUGGUGUAGCGGUGAAAUGCGUAGAUAUCAGGAGGAACACCUGCGGUGUAGGCAGCUUUCUGGACCAAAACUGACGCUGAGGCACGAAAGCGUGGGUAGCAAACA